Molecule: ribosomal RNA, 227 nt
Filed under: uncultured bacterium
Lineage: Bacteria
Description: partial 16S ribosomal RNA
Rfam family: Bacterial small subunit ribosomal RNA
Source: RNAcentral
UUCAAAAAUAGGUCUCAGUUCGGACUGUAGGCUGCAACUCGCCUACACGAAGUUGGAAUUGCUAGUAAUCGUGGAUCAGCAUGCCACGGUGAAUACGUUCCCGGGUCUUGUACACACCGCCCGUCACACCAUGGGAGCUGGUAACACCCGAAGUCAGUAGUCUAACCGCAAGGAGGACGCUGCCGAAGGUGGGAUUAGCGACUGGGGUGAAGUCGUAACAAGGUAAC